GUUGUAUGGUUAAGUGACUAAGCGUACACGGUGGAUGCCUUGGCAGUCAGAGGCGAUGAAGGACGUAUUAACUUGCGAUAAGCCCAGAUUAGGUAGUAAAAACCAUUUGAGUCUGGGAUUUCCGAAUGGGGAAACCCACUAGCAUAAGCUAGUAUCGCUGCGUGAAUACAUAGCGCAGCGAGGCGAACCGGGGGAACUGAAACAUCUAAGUACCCCGAGGAAAAGAAAUCAACCGAGAUUCCGAAAGUAGCGGCGAGCGAAAUUGGACUAGCCCUUAAGCUUUUUAUGCGUCAGGUGAAACUUCUGGAAAGUUGUGCGAUACAGGGUGAUAGCCCCGUAACCGGCAACGCAUAUAAAGUGAAAUCGAGUAGGGCGGGACACGUGAUAUCCUGUCUGAAUAUGGGGGGACCAUCCUCCAAGGCUAAAUACUACUGACUGACCGAUAGUGAACCAGUACCGUGAGGGAAAGGCGAAAAGAACCCCUGUGAGGGAGUGAAAUAGAACCUGAAACCGUGUACGUACAAGCAGUAGGAGCACCUUCGUGGUGUGACUGCGUACCUUUUGUAUAAUGGGUCAGCGACUUAUAUUCAGUGGCAAGGUUAACCAUCUAGGGGAGCCGUAGGGAAACCGAGUCUUAACUGGGCGUUCAGUCUCUGGAUAUAGACCCGAAACCAGGUGAUCUAGCCAUGGGCAGGUUGAAGGUUGAGUAACAUCAACUGGAGGACCGAACCGACUAAUGUUGAAAAAUUAGCGGAUGACUUGUGGCUAGGGGUGAAAGGCCAAUCAAACCUGGAGAUAGCUGGUUCUCCCCGAAAGCUAUUUAGGUAGCGCCUCGGACGAAUACUACUGGGGUAGAGCACUGUUAAGGCUAGGGGUCAUCCCGACUUACCAACCCUUUGCAAACUCCGAAUACCAGUAAGUACUAUCCGGGAGACACACGGCGGGUGCUAACGUCCGUCGUGGAGAGGGAAACAACCCAGACCGCCAGCUAAGGUCCCAAAUUACUACUAAGUGGGAAACGAUGUGGGAAGGCUCAGACAGCCAGGAUGUUGGCUUAGAAGCAGCCAUCAUUUAAAGAAAGCGUAAUAGCUCACUGGUCGAGUCGGCCUGCGCGGAAGAUGUAACGGGGCUAAGUAGUAAACCGAAGCUGCGGCAAUGCACUUUAGUGCAUUGGGUAGGGGAGCGUUCUGUAAGCGGUUGAAGGUGUGUGGUAACGCAUGCUGGACGUAUCAGAAGUGCGAAUGCUGACAUGAGUAACGAUAAAGGGGGUGAAAACCUCCUCGCCGGAAGACCAAGGGUUCCUGUCCAACGUUAAUCGGGGCAGGGUAAGUCGACCCUAAGGCGAGGCCGAAAGGCGUAGUCGAUGGGAAACGGGUUAAUAUUCCCGUACUUCUUACAAUUGCGAUGGGGGACGGAGAAGGCUAGGUGGGCCUGGCGACGGUUGUCCAGGUUCAAGUGCGUAGGCUUAAGAGUUAGGUAAAUCCGGCUCUUUUUAAGGCUGAGACACGACGUCGAGCUACUACGGUAGUGAAGUCAUUGAUGCCAUGCUUCCAGGAAAAGCCUCUAAGCUUCAGAUUGUAAGGAAUCGUACCCCAAACCGACACAGGUGGUCGGGUAGAGAAUACCAAGGCGCUUGAGAGAACUCGGGUGAAGGAACUAGGCAAAAUGGUACCGUAACUUCGGGAGAAGGUACGCUCUCGACGGUGAAGUCCCUUGCGGAUGGAGCUAUUGAGAGUCGCAGAUACCAGGUGGCUGCAACUGUUUAUUAAAAACACAGCACUGUGCAAAAUCGUAAGAUGACGUAUACGGUGUGACGCCUGCCCGGUGCCGGAAGGUUAAUUGAUGGGGUUAGACUUCGGUCGAAGCUCUUGAUCGAAGCCCCGGUAAACGGCGGCCGUAACUAUAACGGUCCUAAGGUAGCGAAAUUCCUUGUCGGGUAAGUUCCGACCUGCACGAAUGGCGUAAUGAUGGCCACGCUGUCUCCACCCGAGACUCAGUGAAAUUGAAAUCGCUGUGAAGAUGCAGUGUACCCGCGGCUAGACGGAAAGACCCCGUGAACCUUUACUACAGCUUGGCACUGAACAUUGACCCUACAUGUGUAGGAUAGGUGGGAGGCUUUGAAGCACAGUCGCUAGAUUGUGUGGAGCCGUCCUUGAAAUACCACCCUUGUAGUGUUGAUGUUCUAACGUUGACCCCUAAUCGGGGUUGCGGACAGUGCCUGGUGGGUAGUUUGACUGGGGCGGUCUCCUCCCAAAGCGUAACGGAGGAGCACGAAGGUGGGCUAAUCACGGUUGGACAUCGUGAGGUUAGUGCAAUGGCAUAAGCCCGCUUGACUGCGAGAAUGACGGUUCGAGCAGGUGCGAAAGCAGGUCAUAGUGAUCCGGUGGUUCUGAAUGGAAGGGCCAUCGCUCAACGGAUAAAAGGUACUCCGGGGAUAACAGGCUGAUACCGCCCAAGAGUUCAUAUCGACGGCGGUGUUUGGCACCUCGAUGUCGGCUCAUCACAUCCUGGGGCUGAAGUCGGUCCCAAGGGUAUGGCUGUUCGCCAUUUAAAGUGGUACGCGAGCUGGGUUUAGAACGUCGUGAGACAGUUCGGUCCCUAUCUGCCGUGGGCGUUGGAAGAUUGAAGGGGGCUGCUCCUAGUACGAGAGGACCGGAGUGGACGAACCUCUGGUGUUCGGGUUGUGUCGCCAGACGCAUUGCCCGGUAGCUAAGUUCGGAAUCGAUAACCGCUGAAAGCAUCUAAGCGGGAAGCGAGCCCUGAGAUGAGUCUUCCCUGAUACUUUAAGUAUCCUAAAGGGUUGUUCGAGACUAGAACGUUGAUAGGCAGGGUGUGUAAGCGUUGUGAGGCGUUGAGCUAACCUGUACUAAUUGCCCGUGAGGCUUAACCAUACAACACCCAAGGGGUUU
This 2909-nucleotide ribosomal RNA is filed under the name Vibrio harveyi. Its description in RNAcentral is "bacterial LSU rRNA". It matches the Rfam family "Bacterial large subunit ribosomal RNA". The record is from RNAcentral. Lineage: Bacteria; Pseudomonadati; Pseudomonadota; Gammaproteobacteria; Vibrionales; Vibrionaceae.